CGCGAGGAGGCUCAGACGGGCCGACCCGUCCUGGGCUACGGAUCAGACGCCAGCUAAUCCACCGGAAGAUUCGUUCCCCUCUGCCCCCCUCUCAUUAUCUUCCUCAACCUCGUCGGCAGGAAGCAGAUCGGGAUUCGGGAACGAUGACUACCUCAUCUUCUUCAUCCCAGCCGGACGAGGUACUCCCGCUGAUUCCUUGCCCAACCUUCAUCUCCCAAGGCGGACCACGCUUCUACAAGUGCGUCAGAAAAGAUGCUGGGUUGUGUCAGUUUUUGAGAUCCACGGACACCUACCUGCCGGAGCUCACUCGCCACGACUUGUCCCAGCCCCAGCCGUACGUGCUGCACCAGCCUCUAGCCGUGCACCCAUCCGCUUCCCUUCACCAGAGAUACAGGCGCGAUCACAAUUUCGCGGACGGCGGCAGCCGAGCAGAGAUCCAACCAGCUCAUGGACGUCCCCAGCCACAGCUUCAGCCGUAUCUUAAAAAUAUCAGUGUGUAGUCAUUGUUAUCUCUGAACGUUCUCUCACUCCACAAGCAACUUCAUUGUUCACGAGGAGCCAAGAUUCGUUCGGAUUACAGGCUAUACAAUUAGGGACCAGCUUGUCGGCAACAGAAUAAUUGGUCAUGAACUGAUGCCCUUGGUUUUUCCGCCGUUUUGCUCAACUUGAUUAUGAAGCAGAAACCAAAAACCCUUAUUUAAGCUGGAGGCACCCCAUCGAACCUGAAUUCUCAGUAAGCCCGUCACUCUCUAGUUUGAAGCUCCCAACUAAGCUUAUCAUUCCUGUUGAUUUCAUUUGACGCACUUUAUCUGUGCUAACUUAUGACUUUCAUGUCAAGCAGACUCUGGUUCUCAUUCUUGCACAAGGUGUCAAUACAGAAGCAGUUAUCUGCUGACUCGCUGAAGUACGACAUAACAUCAUCUCAAAUGGUACACAAGGAUG
Molecule: non-coding RNA, 942 nt
Organism: Aegilops tauschii subsp. strangulata
Lineage: Eukaryota; Viridiplantae; Streptophyta; Magnoliopsida; Poales; Poaceae
Source: RefSeq, a predicted model, not a curated record